This is a non-coding RNA of Maylandia zebra (zebra mbuna), 555 nucleotides long. The record is from RefSeq and is a predicted model, not a curated record. NCBI's taxonomy places the organism in Eukaryota, Metazoa, Chordata, Actinopteri, Cichliformes, Cichlidae.
CCAGCUCAGGUGAGGUGAAGUCUUCAGCUCCACUCUGUGAACUCUUGGAUCUGUGAGGAGAACCAGGACUCAGCGUCACUGCUAGCAAAGAUGAAGGAAGGUCUGCAGACCGAGCUUCUGGAAACACUUGGGAAUUUGAGCGAUAAGGAACUGAAGCUCUUUAAGUGGUAUCUACAGAAAUCUGAGGCACUGGAUGGUUUACCAGCCAUCCCAAAGAGUGAUCUUCAGACAGCUGAUAAACUGGAAAUAGUGAAUUUGAUGAUCAAUAAAUACAAACCUGAAAAUGCUUUGGGAGUCGCACAAAAGAUUUUGGACAAAGUCAAGACUCGUACAAAUAAACCUUCACACGCUGUGGAGAAACAAGAAAAACCAGUCCAUACAGUUUCAUCAGAAGAGUGUCUUUUACGGUGUCAUCGGUGUCUAAAGCGUAAGCUCAGAGAGAAGUUCCAAAUUGCCUUGGAGGGAAGUGUCAGAGCUGAAAAUCCAACCCAAGUCCCACUGAAUCAGAUCUACACAGAGCUCUACAUCACAGAGGGAGGGACUGCAGAGGUCAAU